This 484-nucleotide ribosomal RNA is filed under the name uncultured bacterium. RNAcentral describes it as "partial 16S ribosomal RNA". It matches the Rfam family "Bacterial small subunit ribosomal RNA", at positions 28 to 523 of the family's 1533-position model. The record is from RNAcentral.
GACGAACGCUGGCGGCGUGCUUAACACAUGCAAGUCGAACGAUGAAGCCGGAGCUUGCUCUGGUGAAUUAGUGGCGAACGGGUGAGUAACACGUGAGUAACCUGCCCUUGACUCUGGGAUAACUGCGGGAAACUGUAGCUAAUACCGGAUACGACCCUCGGAGGCAUCUCCUGGGGGUGGAAAGAAUUUCGGUCAAGGAUGGACUCGCGGCCUAUCAGCUAGUUGGUGAGGUAAAGGCUCACCAAGGCGACGACGGGUAGCCGGCCUGAGAGGAGGACCGGCCACACUGGGGCUGAGACACGGCCCAGACUCCUACGGGAGGCAGCAGUGGGGAAUAUUGCACAAUGGGCGCAAGCCUGAUGCAGCAACGCCGCGUGAGGGAUGACGGCCUUCGGGUUGUAAACCUCUUUUAGCAGGGAAGAAGCGAAAGUGACGGUACCUGCAGAAAAAGCACCGGCUAACUACGUGCCAGCCGCCGCAGUAA